Lycium barbarum (goji berry) is the source of this 617-nucleotide long non-coding RNA. RefSeq lists it as uncharacterized. Lineage: Eukaryota; Viridiplantae; Streptophyta; Magnoliopsida; Solanales; Solanaceae. The transcript is spliced from 3 exons. The record is from RefSeq and is a predicted model, not a curated record.
UUGGGGUAAAGAUGCCCCCAUCCUCUUCCUUCUCUUCGUAGCUGCUCAUCUGGUAAUUAUGCCUUGUCGAAUUCGUCCCAUUUGUUCUUUUGUUGUGAGUUGUUCCUUUAAAUGCAUGUUGUUUGAAUUCAAAUUCUUGUAAACCACUUCUUUCUCUAUUGAAUUGUAUGUACUGCUGUGUUGUUGAUUUUCUCUGCACUUGAGGUUGGCCGGUGUUAUUGUGGUCGUGUUCCUCACCACCAGCUGGCUCUGAGCUUCUUUCUCCUGUUCCUCAUCUUGCACUCCUUCCUCUUCAUUUGUCAACAACUCAAAAGCAUUUUGAGUUUGUAUCAUAUUAUUAGCUUCUUAUGCUAAGGAGAAAACCGCCUCUCGCGCAAAGAAAUUUGGUGGCAGUUCCGGGAAACUUAUCCAGGCCAGAGCAACAGAAGUUUCUUCAUUUGGUUUGAACCAUGGGUUCCAAAUCAUCGGUCUCAUUUGACAAUAUCUAUUAUUCAUUGAAAUGUAAUAAGCAGGGGUAGAAAGUAUUUUGAUGUAAUCUUCCAAUAAUGAAAAUCUCAUCAAAAUGUGUCUAUCUUCAGUAAGGCCACUUUCACACUUACCUUUAAUUCCACAUUGUU